AUAGCCGUUCACCUAGGAUUCUAC
Molecule: non-coding RNA, 24 nt
Filed under: Arabidopsis thaliana (thale cress)
Lineage: Eukaryota; Viridiplantae; Streptophyta; Magnoliopsida; Brassicales; Brassicaceae
Source: RNAcentral